This 546-nucleotide ribosomal RNA is filed under the name uncultured bacterium. RNAcentral describes it as "bacterial SSU rRNA". It matches the Rfam family "Bacterial small subunit ribosomal RNA", at positions 363 to 917 of the family's 1533-position model. The record is from RNAcentral.
UUUGCGCAUGGGCGAAAGCCUGNGCAGCGACGCCGCGUGGGGGACGAAGCCCUUCGGGGUGUAAACCCCUUUCGACCCGGACGAAGUCCCGCAAGGGAUCGACGGUACGGGAUGAAGAAGCCCCGGCUAACUACGUGCCAGCAGCCGCGGUAAGACGUAGGGGGCCAGCGUUGCUCGGAAUGACUGGGCGUAAAGAGUCUGUAGGCGGUGCGGCAAGUCGGGAGUGAAAUCUCAGGGCUUAACUCUGAGUCUGCUUUCGAAACUGCCGUGCUCGAGUGUGGGAGAGGUGAGUGGAAUUGCAGGUGUAGCGGUGAAAUGCGUANAUAUCUGCAGGAACACCAGAGGCGAAGGCGGCUCACUGGACCACAACUGACGCUGAGAGACGAAAGCUAGGGGAGCAAACAGGAUUAGAUACCCUGGUAGUCCUAGCCCUAAACCAUCAGGACUUGGCGUGGGUCCCGUUCGGGGCCCGUGUCGGAGCUAACGCGUGAAGUCCUGCGCCUGGGGAGUACGGUCGCAAGGCUGAAACUCAAAAAAAUUGACGGA